UAGGGAAUAUUGGACAAUGGGUGAGAGCCUGAUCCAGCCAUGCCGCGUGCAGGAAGAAGGCGUUAUGCGUUGUAAACUGCUUUUUGCCAGGGGAUAAAAAGACCGUGCGCGGUUAAUUGAAGGUACCUGGUGAAUAAGCCACGGCUAACUACGUGCCAGCAGCCGCGGUAAUACGUAGGUGGCAAGCGUUGUCCGGAUUUAUUGGGUUUAAAGGGUGCGUAGGUGGCCCUGUAAGUCAGUGGUGAAAUAUCUCAGCUUAACUGAGAGGGUGCAAUUGAUACUGCAGGGCUUGAGUACAGAUGAGGUAGGCGGAAUUGACGGUGUAGCGGUGAAAUGCAUAGAUAUCGUCAAGAACACCGAUAGCGAAGGCAGCUUACCAAGCUGUAACUGACACUGAGGCACGAAAGUGUGGGGAUCAAACAGGAUUAGAUACCCGCGUAGUCCCUGAGCGGGCUGGCAAGGCGCAU
This 467-nucleotide ribosomal RNA is filed under the name uncultured bacterium. RNAcentral's name for it is "bacterial SSU rRNA". It matches the Rfam family "Bacterial small subunit ribosomal RNA", at positions 355 to 825 of the family's 1533-position model. The record is from RNAcentral.